This 735-nucleotide ribosomal RNA is filed under the name uncultured Fusobacterium sp. Its description in RNAcentral is "bacterial SSU rRNA". It matches the Rfam family "Bacterial small subunit ribosomal RNA", at positions 28 to 776 of the family's 1533-position model. Lineage: Bacteria; Fusobacteriati; Fusobacteriota; Fusobacteriia; Fusobacteriales; Fusobacteriaceae. The record is from RNAcentral.
GAUGAACGCUGACAGAAUGCUUAACACAUGCAAGUCAACUUGAAUUUGGGUUUUUAACUUAGAUUUGGGUGGCGGACGGGUGAGUAACGCGUAAAGAACUUGCCUCACAGCUAGGGACAACAUUUAGAAAUGAACGCUAAUACCUAAUAUUAUGAUAAUAGGGCAUCCUAUAAUUAUGAAAGCUAUAUGCGCUGUGAGAGAGCUUUGCGUCCCAUUAGCUAGUUGGAGAGGUAACGGCUCACCAAGGCGAUGAUGGGUAGCCGGCCUGAGAGGGUGAUCGGCCACAAGGGGACUGAGACACGGCCCUUACUCCUACGGGAGGCAGCAGUGGGGAAUAUUGGACAAUGGACCGAGAGUCUGAUCCAGCAAUUCUGUGUGCACGAUGAAGUUUUUCGGAAUGUAAAGUGCUUUCAGUUGGGAAGAAAGAAAUGACGGUACCAACAGAAGAAGUGACGGCUAAAUACGUGCCAGCAGCCGCGGUAAUACGUAUGUCACGAGCGUUAUCCGGAUUUAUUGGGCGUAAAGCGCGUCUAGGUGGUUAUAUAAGUCUGAUGUGAAAAUGCAGGGCUCAACUCUGUAUUGCGUUGGAAACUGUAUAACUAGAGUACUGGAGAGGUAAGCGGAACUGCAAGUGUAGAGGUGAAAUUCGUAGAUAUUUGUAGGAAUGCCGAUGGGGAAGCCAGCUUACUGGACAGAUACUGACGCUGAAGCGCGAAAGCGUGGGUAGCAAACAGG